Molecule: ribosomal RNA, 515 nt
Filed under: uncultured bacterium
Lineage: Bacteria
Description: partial 16S ribosomal RNA
Rfam family: Bacterial small subunit ribosomal RNA
Source: RNAcentral
GAUGAACGCUGGCGGCGUGCCUAAUACAUGCAAGUCGAGCGAAUGGAUUAAGAGCUUGCUCUUAUGAAGUUAGCGGCGGACGGGUGAGUAACACGUGGGUAACCUGCCCAUAAGACUGGGAUAACUCCGGGAAACCGGGGCUAAUACCGGAUAACAUUUUGAACCGCAUGGUUCGAAAUUGAAAGGCGGCUUCGGCUGUCACUUAUGGAUGGACCCGCGUCGCAUUAGCUAGUUGGUGAGGUAACGGCUCACCAAGGCAACGAUGCGUAGCCGACCUGAGAGGGUGAUCGCCCACACUGGGACUGAGAACCGGCCCAGACUCCUACGGGAGGCAGCAGUAGGGAAUCUUCCGCAAUGGACGAAAGUCUGACGGAGCAACGCCGCGUGAGUGACGAAGGCUUUCGGGUCGUAAAACUCUGUUGUUAGGGAAGAACAAGUGCUAGUUGAAUAAGCUGGCACCUUGACGGUACCUAACCAGAAAGCCACGGCUAACUACGUGCCAGCCGCCGCGGUAA